UAUUUUUAAUUGACAUA
This 17-nucleotide transfer RNA is filed under the name Rhoicissus revoilii. Its description in RNAcentral is "partial tRNA-Phe". The record is from RNAcentral. Lineage: Eukaryota; Viridiplantae; Streptophyta; Magnoliopsida; Vitales; Vitaceae.